Molecule: ribosomal RNA, 699 nt
Filed under: Triticum aestivum (bread wheat)
Lineage: Eukaryota; Viridiplantae; Streptophyta; Magnoliopsida; Poales; Poaceae
Description: partial small subunit ribosomal RNA
Source: RNAcentral
AUGAUCACCAAUGCCCAAAACAAUAACUUGCUGGUGGGUUUGGCUUCGGACCUCAUCCCUAAUGGAGUUGCGGUACUCCAAUAUGCUGACGACACUAUUAUCUGCCUGGAACACGAUGUUGAUAAGGCAGUAAACCUGAAGUUACUGCUGUACAUCUUUGAGCUUAUGUCUGGACUUAAAGUGAACUAUCAGAAAAAUGAGAUUUUCACUGUGGGAGGCGAUGAGAGCACGCUGAAAUACUAUGCUGAGUUGUUUAACUGUGAUGUGGGUAGCUUCCCCAUCAAAUACCUCGGUAUGCCUGUUAGUUAUUCCACCCUUAGAGAUUCUGACUGGGAGUUCAUAGUGGCCAAGUACCUUAAAAGAUUCGAGGCUUGGAUCGGUAAUGCUGCAUCCAUGGGGGGCAGUCUGACUUUGUUGGAUUCAGUUGUCACCCAGAUAUCCUUGUAUCAUAUGUCUAUGUGGCUUAUGAGCAAAACUUUCAUUGAAAAGCUUGAUAAACAUAGAAGGAAGUUUUUUUGGCAAGGUUGUAACAAGAAAAUGAGAUAUCAUUUGGUCAAAUGGGGCAGAAUAUGUAGGUCUCGAGAUAAAGGUGGCCUGGGAGUUAAAGAUCUUCGAAAACAAAACAUUAGCUUGAUGGUCAAAUGGUGGUGGAAACUUGAGACCCAAAAUGGCCUUUGGCAGAAAAUUGUGCGUGCUUGA